RNAcentral lists this unclassified non-coding RNA (343 nucleotides) under soil metagenome. RNAcentral's name for it is "partial contains 5.8S ribosomal RNA, internal transcribed spacer 2, and large subunit ribosomal RNA". The stretch from base 1 to 120 matches the Rfam family "5.8S ribosomal RNA", at positions 35 to 154 of the family's 154-position model. The record is from RNAcentral.
GAUGAAGAACGUAGCGAAAUGCGAUAAGUAAUGUGAAUUGCAGAAUUCAGUGAAUCAUCGAAUCUUUGAACGCACAUUGCGCCCGCCAGCAUUCUGGCGGGCAUGCCUGUUCGAGCGUCAUUUCAACCCUCGACCUCCCUUUGGGGAAGUCGGCGUUGGGGACCGGCAGCACACCGCCGGCCCUGAAAUGGAGUGGCGGCCCGUCCGCGGCGACCUCUGCGUAGUAAUCCAACUCGCACCGGAACCCCGACGCGGCCACGCCGUAAAACACCCAACUUCUGAACGUUGACCUCGAAUCAGGUAGGACUACCCGCUGAACUUAAGCAUAUCAAUAAGCGGAGGA